This 440-nucleotide ribosomal RNA is filed under the name uncultured bacterium. RNAcentral's name for it is "partial 16S ribosomal RNA". It matches the Rfam family "Bacterial small subunit ribosomal RNA", at positions 338 to 795 of the family's 1533-position model. The record is from RNAcentral.
CCUACGUGUGGCAGCAGUGGGGAAUAUUUCACAAUGGGGGAAACCCUGAUGCAGCGACGCCGCGUGAAGGAAGAAGGCUUUCGGUAUGUAAACUGCUAUCAGCAGGGAAGAAAAUGACGGUACCUGACGAAGAAGCCACGGCUAACUACGUGCCAGCAGCCGCGGUAAUACGUAGGGGGCAAGCGUUAUCCGGAUUGACUGGGUGUAAAGAGAGCGGAGGGGGUUUAGCAAGUCAGAAGUAAAAGCCCGGGGCUAAACCCCGGGACUGGUUUUGAAACUGUUGAACUCGAUUGCGGGAGAGGUAACUGGAAUUCCUAGUGUAGCGGUGAAAUGCGUAGAUAUUAGGAGGAACACCAGUAGCGUAGGCAGCUUACUGGACUGUCAAUGACGCUGAGGCUCGAAAGCGUGGGGAGCAAACGGGAUUAGAUACCCCAGUAGUC